Long non-coding RNA from Brassica rapa (field mustard), 1168 nucleotides. RefSeq lists it as uncharacterized. NCBI's taxonomy places the organism in Eukaryota, Viridiplantae, Streptophyta, Magnoliopsida, Brassicales, Brassicaceae. The record is from RefSeq and is a predicted model, not a curated record.
AAAUUCAUUAACAACCACUUAAGCAACACUAAAGGUUGCUAGCAAUAAACAUGCUCUAAGACACGUCUCUUAUGAGACACGUGUCUGUCAAACUGCGUCCCCUUCUCUCUCGAGACGAACAUGUCUACAGCCAAUGUCAGUGGCUCUGGUCGUCGCCGGAUUUCAUCUCCUUCCGCCUCUCUGUUUGCGCCGUCGCCGAUCUGAUCCCACAUGUCAGUUCUCUAGACUCUCUGUUUGCGCCGUCGCCACACAACCGGCACCAUCUUAUCCUGGUUCUAAUAAACCAACCUGAGAGGAAGAAGAUAUUGGGGAACGGGGAACCGAGUUGCUCCUCUGUUGCAAUCUCCCUUAGCUUGCUCAGUGCAGGCAACAGAACGGUAGCAAGAUCAGGGCUGUCCCUUUUCCGCAGCUCACAGCACGGUAAAGCACGUGUUUACUCUCUGUCUCUUGUUGGAAACCGUUUGGUUGUGGCAACAGCAGGAAGGCAUGUCAACAUCAGACGAGAUGUGUUCAUAUAUUGCUUUAUUUGGUUGUUGGCAACAUCCAGAGUUGCUAGUUUUUUUUUUCUUUUUCUCUAUUCCAAAGAUUGAUAUAUUUAAACUUGUUCUCAGAUAUGCUUUCAAAUGUCAUCGGAAAUCAGAGGCUGGAAGAGACAUUGUUUACCUUGUAAAUGUCAUUGCCUUUUAUCCAAUGUUUAGGCCUAGAGUUCUUGUUGAUGUGAGCAAAAUAGAUACGUCUACAAGCAUAUUGGGUUACCCUAUCUCAGCUCCAAAGAUGAAGAACUUUGAAGGUUUAUUUUCAACUGAACUCCAACCAGUGAAGGUUCAGGGAUUGAAGCCGUGGCCUCUCGUGCACUUGAUGCUUCCUUUAGUUGGAAGGGAGUGAAGGUUCAGUGUUGAUGUCAUCAUCUCUUGCAUUAACUUUGCAGUAGCAGUAGCCCUCCUAAAAUUCUCUAGAAGGGUAUGAUGGUAGUGUGUCUGCAUUGCUUAUCUUUCUAAUGUCUAGAGUUUUGUUGUUGUUUAUAAUGUUUUUAAAAACCCCAAAAAUAAGAGACUUGCAUUGGAGGUGCUAAUUGUAGGAGUCUCUUAGUUAUGUCUCUUAAUCUCACUUUAACUACUUAAAAGUAUUAAAAAAAUAUUAAGAGACCCAAGAAGGGGCUUUAGGAUAA